CUUAAUUCUCUUGAUCUCCAGCAGUUGUCAGCUGAUAUUGAUUCACGACUGCUGUCCAUCCCUUCCCUAUCCUGUUCUUCACUGGCCAUCUCCGCAUAUAACACAACACAAACACACUGACAUACAGAUACACCCUCACCUCUGCCUUUAACACUGCAGCACCGCUCCAAACAAGCACCUCGAGGAGGACUCGCCCCAAACCAUGCUAUAGGAGUCAAUUCAAGGUACUAAUUCACACCUAUAAAGCACUG
Non-coding RNA from Pelobates cultripes (western spadefoot toad), 251 nucleotides. Lineage: Eukaryota; Metazoa; Chordata; Amphibia; Anura; Pelobatidae. The record is from the annotation of a GenBank genome assembly.